CUGUUCAAACCCUUACUAUCCUACAAGUUCUCCCUUAAAGUACAUAAGUUCAGAAUGUGGAUAUGAGCUCUUCUCCAGCAAUUCCAACUUUGAGCAUUCCUCCCCAUGGCCUGCCUUUUCUAACACAAACAAAGAGGCCUAUUUAUAGACUUCAUGACUCAUUGGUCAUUUGCUGCUCUACAGCACCACCACUGUUCUGUGCCAUCUGGCAAACAUUUCUAACUGCGUCAAGAGUAUAAGAGCUCAACUCAGAGAGGACAUUUGCUGAGAAACCAGAGUUGGGCUACAAGACAUUGUAGGCUACCAAGAGUUGAAAUGGGUCUUCCAGCCUUGGGUCUGAUACCGUUUUUGGGGCCCCUUGCGUUUCCAGUAGCAUUGGGAACAGUCGCAGUAGGGGGCUUUAUAUUGAUUAAGGCGAUUCAUAAGAAACCUUCAUAUCAUCCAGGAAGUCCCAUAAUAACACGUUCCGUGAAGGUAAAGUCAAAUGAAGCUUCUGGAAAUGAACCCACUGGAAAUGCUGCCAGCAAGAAGACAGAAGGACAGCCGAGCAGCAAUGAAACUACCAUCAUAAUUGCUUACGGCCUUGGAGUGGUUGACACUUAUAAAAAUGUUAAAAAAGGUAGACCAUCUCAGUUUGGUCUGGGUAACUUUGGCAUGGCAGAGGCAGACCAUAUUCCACCAUUGGCUUCUCUGAGGAUAGCCCGAAACCAUGAACGACUGGAUCGUCUCCUACAAGUGAAUCCAAGGCUUCAUGAGAUGAUCAUGAGCCUUGAUUAUGACCCAACUGGACAGAACCUGUUAACCAUGAGGGUUCUUUACCAGGAUCACAGAGAUGCUCUGACUACUGGAAACAGCAGGGAAUCUCAAGUAUCCAGUCAUCUGCUGGCAGAGACAAUCGUAGACGGAGAUGCUGCACUUAUGCUGAGGAAGGCUUUUAUCAUGGGUCAUCCUAUAUCUUCCUGGCAGCUCAGAGAAGACGCAGGAUUGGCCGCACCAUAUACCGAUGGUAACAUUGACAUGUCUGAUGAAGGAACAAGGCACUACUACAGAUGUGGCUACAUUGAGCUGGUCGAAGCGUACCACAGGAAGGGGAUAAUCAACAAGAAUCAAGCAAAACAGCUCAUUUCAUGGGUGGAAAAAGAGAUGCACCUGGACCGGGAUACCCAAGAGUAUAAGGAGAUCCUUGAUUACAUUAAACGUCAUGUUCGUGUUUUCCGGUGGUAGAAAUGGCAAACAAACUCAGACAACACAGAGUAAAUACAGAUUGUGUAAUCUAACAUGCUGACCAGACCGGACACGUCGCGCGCGCGUCGCAAAAUACAUUUAGAAAUACAUUUAUGUACGAUAGCGCACGUGCAUAGAUGUUUGGGUCCGUGUAACGGGAGUUCCCAAGUAAAAAACGUUUCUAUGAUAUGCAAAUUAUGGAAUUCAGUAUAGUUGGAUUCUAGUUUGAAAUAUACUAAUUCAUGUUGCCAUUCUAGAACUCAUUGAUUAAUUUGCAUGUAUAAGGAAAGCAUAUGCUGGGGUCAAGGAAGGGUAGAUAGGGAUUUAUGGAAAGUUACAGUGUAGAAAGUUCAUAUUCUGCUCCAUGUUUCUAAGGAGGGAGUCGAAGGGCAAUAGUCUCUGAUAAGGCAGGCCAGCUGAGAAACUAGGGAGGGGCGAGGAAUGCAUCUUGAGGUCAAGUCAACAAAUGAAGUGAUAAGAAAACUCUGGGAGGCAGGCCAGAGAGACCCACCACAAUGACUCUCCUACUUAUGAGGAUUCUGUGUUAUGCACUAUAGCCUGUUACCAUAUAUGUGAUUGAAUAUUAUCUGCUGUUGGCUUGUGUGGAUGUAUGUAGGUGUUAUGCAACAUAGCUGAUUUGAAACAUUGUUAACAGUUUCAGGACCAUGGGCCUUUCUCAUGAUGGAAAAAUACAAAAUAACAUAAAAACGGACACAUACAGAACAUAGUGUAGCAAACCACAGACUGUUUUUGUUACAACUCAAACUUAACAAUAACAGAAACCAGAUAUGUGAUAACGGUAUCUAGGGAAUGAGCGCAUAGAUACUCGACACAGCAAGUUACAUCUAUCAACUGGAGCGCCCGGGGGCUGGUACCAGCUCGUACGACAACAAUCAACGAUAGGCUGGGUGAGUUUAAACCACGCCCAGUCUCUACUCUGACAGGCCGGCUCGGAAGCCGGAACUACUACUGUCACCAGGGUAUAUUAUAAUAUCUUUGUCAGGAACAAGUCAGUUCUCUGUUUUGCCCUGCGAGGUGGGACAGAGAGCUUGUAUAUACGAAAAUUGCAUUUACCAUUUAUUGCUUAGCUACUAAAAAAUACAUAGUAUACAAUCGGCGACUCAUUGUCAUAUUUAUCCUGAUACCAGAUUCGAAUUGACGCAACUCUAACAUACUGCAGUCCUAUUUCACACAUAUACUUCCAUGCAUGAAGGUUUUAGUAUCAGGCAGUGCUAUAACUACACCAGUGAGAGGGACAAUUGCGUUUCUGCCUAGCAACAGCGAUGUAUUGGCUGUCUAGAUGUGUAAGGACAUUAUCCCACAUAUUAGAAGGUAAUAAAUAUAUCUGCUUGUGUAAUCAUGCCUUGUCUUUGCAGCUGUAUGACCCAGUGGGUGAAUAAACUUGGUUUGAGCUUUGUGUAGUCGUCCGUUUGAGUUUUUGCUCCGUUUGUUCAGAAUCUAACAGUAUAAAUAUCAUAAUGAGGAGUAUAAUUUAUUGUUCAUAAUUGUUGCAACGUUUUUUUGGCCUACUGUAUAGUCUGUGCCUGGUUGAUUAUGUUCAGCAGUGUACUAGUAGUAGAUCCAGUCUGCCUGUUGCAUUUGGUAAAUGUACAGCCUAUAGAUUCUCUGCAAAAUGUUUAGAUUUCCUGAUUCUCUGCAGUUAUUGUAACAUUAUGCAGUGUGCACUAGCUCAAUGCCUGGGAAAACCGUCAUUAAAAUAUCAUCUAUUUUGGAAGCAGCAGACAGUGAGUGGACAUUACUUUCUUAUUUGUAUUAAAUCUUCUGUUUGUCGUGUGUAAAGUUUAGCUGUUUGUAAAACCCUCUACUUCCACAGAUCCUUCAUCUACCUGAAGAGUGCAGUAGCAGGUGUCCACCUGUUGAUGGUGCCGUCCUCCUUCAUAAUACAACUCUGAGGUCCUGGUAAAUAAAUGUGAUCAACGCUGCUGUGUGUUUUGUCCAUAAUUAUGACACACCAAUGGACAAUUGUAAUGAUGUACGCUGAGAGUCAGAUUAAAAAGGCCAUGAAAAGAGACAA
Long non-coding RNA from Oncorhynchus tshawytscha (Chinook salmon), 3259 nucleotides. Lineage: Eukaryota; Metazoa; Chordata; Actinopteri; Salmoniformes; Salmonidae. The record is from Ensembl.